GUCAGAAAGCACCAAACCGCCCCCAUAUACCCCCCCAGUAACCCCCCCGUGGGGACUCUCACCUGCCAGCCCUUCUCUGCCAGCUCCUGUGCUCCCUGGAAGACCUGGCGCACCGCUCUGGGGAUCAUCCCCCUUCUCUCGGGGUCCAACGCGUCCGGCCCCUCCAUGGUGUAGGUUUUCCCACUGCCCGUCUGCCCGUAGGCGAAGAUGCAGACGUGAUAACCAUCGAGUGCAGACUGCACCAGCAGUGAGAUCUCCUCAAACACCUCCUCCUGCGAGGCGCUGGGCCGGAAGACGCGAUCAAAGCUGAAGUCGUAUUUGAGGUCCUCUUUGCGCUCACGGCCGAUGUGGGACUCCUCCUCCCGGAGCAGCACCAGCGUCUUGUUGUCCUGCGGGGGGAAGUGGAGGUGCUCCAUGCCCUUCUGUUUCUCCUUCUCAGCAGCCAGCAGCGGCCUCACACGGCAAAACACACGGAUGUUCCCCUUGAGCUCCUGCACCAGGUUGUGCAGGCGGCGGCGCUCCAUCUCCAGCAUGUGCUGCAGCUCCUCCUGCUCCCGCAGCCGCCUGGCCUGCGACUCGGCCCUCAGCCGCAGCUCCGCCACCUCCGAGUCGCUCUGAGCCAACACAGCCUUGGUCUGGUGGAGCUGAGCCUCGGCAGCCUCCAGCCGUGCUGACAGCUCCCUGUCUGCCUCCCGCAGCUCCUCCAACUGCUGGCCCCGCAGCUCCGAUUCCUGGCGGUGCUUCUCCAGCUCUGUGCUCAACGUGCUCACACGUCCAUCCAGCUCCUCCACACGCCUCUCCCGUUCCCGUAGCGCCUCCUGCAGCUCCCGCAGCUGCUCCCGGAGCUGUCGGUUCUCCCCAUCCAACCUUUGUGCUUUCUCCUUUUGGUUCCCCAAGGCGGCCCGGAGGUCGCUCAGUUGUCCCUUCAGAUCCCACGCCGCUCGACGACGAUGGGCGCCGCCGACCGGAGCCGCUGCAGGGACCGGGGCUGCCCCGCAGUUCCCUUUCCCGGUCCUCGGGGCGGCGGUCACCGUCAGCGCUUUACGCGGAGGCCCUGGCUCCGGGGCAGCCGGAACGCUCAGUGCCCGCAGCGGGGCUCGGCCGGGGGGCUGUGAUGAGGCGGCGCCGGAGCGGGCCCGUUUCU
Molecule: long non-coding RNA, 1144 nt
Filed under: Gallus gallus (chicken)
Lineage: Eukaryota; Metazoa; Chordata; Aves; Galliformes; Phasianidae
Source: RNAcentral